GAUGAACGCUGGCGGCGUGCCUAAUACAUGCAAGUCGAGCGAACAGAUAAGGAGCUUGCUCCUUUGACGUUAGCGGCGGACGGGUGAGUAACACGUGGGUAACCUACCUAUAAGACUGGGAUAACUUCGGGAAACCGGAGCUAAUACCGGAUAACAUUUGGAACCGCAUGGUUCUAAAGUGAAAGAUGGUUUUGCUAUCACUUAUAGAUGGACCCGCGCCGUAUUAGCUAGUUGGUAAGGUAACGGCUUACCAAGGCGACGAUACGUAGCCGACCUGAGAGGGUGAUCGGCCAUACUGGAACUGAGGCACGGUCCAGACUCCUACGGGAGGCAGCAGUAGGGAAUCUUCCGCAAUGGGCGAAAGCCUGACGGAGCAACGCCGCGUGAGUGAUGAAGGGUUUCGGCUCGUAAAACUCUGUUAUUAGGGAAGAACAAAUGUGUAAGUAACUGUGCACGUCUUGACGGUACCUAAUCAGAAAGCCACGGCUAACUACGUG
This 497-nucleotide ribosomal RNA is filed under the name uncultured bacterium. RNAcentral describes it as "partial 16S ribosomal RNA". It matches the Rfam family "Bacterial small subunit ribosomal RNA", at positions 28 to 507 of the family's 1533-position model. The record is from RNAcentral.